GUGGGGAAUAUUGGACAAUGGGCGCAAGCCUGAUCCAGCCAUACCGCGUGGGUGAAGAAGGCCUUCGGGUUGUAAAGCCCUUUUGUUGGGAAAGAAAUCCUGUCGGUUAAUACCUGGCGGGGAUGACGGUACCCAAAGAAUAAGCACCGGCUAACUUCGUGCCAGCAGCCGCGGUAAUACGAAGGGUGCAAGCGUUACUCGGAAUUACUGGGCGUAAAGCGUGCGUAGGUGGUGGUUUAAGUCCGUUGUGAAAGCCAUGGGCUCAACCUGGGAAUUGCAGUGGAUACUGGAUCACUAGAGUGUGGUAGAGGGAUGCGGAAUUUCUGGUGUAGCAGUGAAAUGCGUAGAGAUCAGAAGGAACAUCCGUGGCGAAGGCGGCAUCCUGGGCCAACACUGACACUGAGGCACGAAAGCGUGGGGAGCAAACAGGAUUAGAAACCCCGGUAGUCC
This 450-nucleotide ribosomal RNA is filed under the name uncultured bacterium. Its description in RNAcentral is "partial 16S ribosomal RNA". It matches the Rfam family "Bacterial small subunit ribosomal RNA", at positions 354 to 796 of the family's 1533-position model. The record is from RNAcentral.